ACUGUUCCAAAGGAUAAGGUGAAAGCGUAUUUUUCCAGAUUACAUUUUCACUUUUUCUGUUCAGACCCCUGGUUGAAAAGAUUUUCAUUACAGAUGGGUCCCUGGCAGAAAAACAUCCAUAUCUUUUUAUCCGUAAAUCCGUUUAAGGUGAAACCAACGCUCACUUCUUCGUCUCGUCGAGCCCGUUUUGUUGGUUUCAUUUUCACUAUGGUUUGACACUAUGAAAAUGACCUUUUUGCCCUUUCCCUUAUUCAGCCCUCUCCGAGAGAGAACGUUUUCCGGCGAUUCGUUCCGCGAGUUUCUCGCACUUUCUCCCGGUGAUUUCUUCCACCCCAGGCAAGCCACAAUACCCACUUGCAUGAUAGUCAUGCAGUAGCCAUGGUUUUUAACUUGAAUAUUUAUUAAAUGUUUGCUUGUUUAAAAUAUGGUUAUCGUUGUUUCGGUAAUGCUUCUGGACUAGUGCUUACUUUCUUGCUAUGUUGUUAUGCACCUGGUUGUCAUGCCCGGCUAGUUGCUAGUAUUCCUUUCAUAUUGCCAUGCUUGAUAGUAGUAUAUGCUGAUGAUGGUGAUGGUCUUCGGUGCAUGACUGUCGUUUGUCCCGAGUACCGUUGUUAUGCAUGUCCCUUUACAUCCAGUUGGUUAAAUGCUUGCAUGAUGGCAUCGUUGAUAUGUUCUUGCAUGACAUUUAUUGUUGAUGCUAGUGGUCAUGCUAUGUUUCGGAGAAGUAUGUACUGGUGAUGUUCAUGCUAGUCAGUACGCCAUGCCCAAUGGAUAUGAUUCAUUGUUGAUAUGGUGGAUAGUUAUGAGAUACCCUCAUGAUUGUGUUGAUAUCAUGUUCAUGCAUUUUUAUUAUGACUCAGCAUAUUUGCAUUCAAGUUAACCGGAUUAAAUUGAACUUGAACAACUGUUGGCUGAGUCAUGGUGCCGCUGAAUCGAUGCUGACCAGUGCAACCACGCUUACCGGUAUGGGACGGUCCUAACUGGGUCUAUUGUUGUGCCUCUCGCCGGUGCCUCCAACGAGGGAAGGUUAUGGGCGCGCGCUACCCUGAUCAGGUAGGCGGACAUAACCUUGUGUGCCCGUUGUUGAGUUUGAGUUUUUGGAUCCGUGUCCCCGUGUGGGACGGGCCACGACGGUGGUCGUUGUGUCUUUGGUAGACACGGGGCCACCCAUGAAUUAGCCCAGAGGGGAGUGAGUCGGAGUGGCCGGGGGAGUGUCAUGACAGUAGAUCGGUUUUGUCGGAACGCCGUUGGUCCACCCAAAUGGGAGUGCGAGGCCAUGGGUUCUGUAGUGUGGGUACAGUGUACUAACCUCUGCAGAGUAUAUAUUAAAUCUAUCGAUAGCCGCGCCCGCGGAUAAGGGCCCAGGUCGAAAGUAGGGUACACCAUGAGUCAACAGUAAUAAGAAUAACUUGAUUAAUGUCAACCCGUGGUUGUGGUCGCCGUAAGGAUCGCGAUGGUAUCGAGGAUACCGAGUUGUUGGAUAUUCGUGAUGUUGUGCGAGAGUCGUGGGUAAAGAUCAAGCUCCUUGUGGUCAUUUACUGAUCGCUACGGUAUUGUUUAUACCAAGCUUGAUUUGAUCCUGAGAUGAUCGUGUGAUGUCCGAGGUUGGUAAGUGAUGCAUGUGUUGGUUACGAGGUAACCCGAGCAGAAUAAGUAGUGCAUGAUAGUGUCAUCAUGUUGCAUGCUAGUAUUGUCGGAUUAAUAUGUUCAUGUUGUGUUAGCUGUAUCAUGUUUAUGUCGGUCAUGCCAUGUUAUUCUGAUGAUCUCAUGAUAAUUCCUGUUUAACUUGUAAUUGCCAUGCUGUUGUCUGUCUUGAAUGCUUCUGGUUAUUGUGAGCUUGCAAGUACAUUCAAUGUACUGACCUGGCGUGUCAUGCCAGUUUGCAGGUCAUGCCGGAUUUGAUUGCUUGCUUGUCGUUGUUCCCGUUCGUGCGAGCUAGGAUAAUCGUUCCAGCCAGAGUCCCUGCGGAGUGGAGUUCACCACCGUCGUCGUUGUUCCGCUGCUAGAGUUAUUCCGCUGCUUUAAGUUGUUCUGCUGCUUGCAUAGAGCAACUGAGGAUGGCGUAGUAUCGCCGUGCCGAUGUUAUUCAUUGUAAUAUCGGAGACCUUGUAUUCAUUUUCGUGUAAUAAUAGAGAGCUGGUUUGUUCUAUGCUAAGCAGUGACGUAUUCCAGAAGACUUCUCCUCGAUCUCUGGGCUGGAAUACGGGGCGUUCUGGUUUUCUCUGAGCCGGGGUGCCACAGCGCUUGGUAUCAGAGCAGGUCUAGCUAUAGGACGCCCUAGACCGCGCGAAUGUUAGAAAGCGGUAGUAUAGACCCAAGUUUGUUUGUUGCACUUGAUUGCUGCAUUUGUUUGCUGCAUAGCAUGCAUAUAGCCUUAGUAUUUGUACUAACGGUUUAUCUGGUGAGUGUAGCUGGCAUCGGUUCGGAUCCACUACAGCUCAACCUUUGCAUUUCUCCAGUUCCUUUUUCUUUUGGUGUUUGGUGUUAUUUCUGUCCCAGCAGAGUGAUGCCAAGUGAUCCCGACACUGUUUGCAAAAAUGGUGCUCAGUUAUCGCACCGAUGUCUUUCCUUCAGUCCCGUCUAUCAUUUUGGUGAUGAACAUGCAUCUAUCCCAGAUCGUUCUUCUAUUUUGUCGUGUUGGCAACCCUUAAUGAUCUUAGUUAUCAAGAAAGGGCAAUGUCAGCAGCCUCAGUUUUUGCCCGCUAUCCUAUUUCUUGGACGAGUACGGAUCUUUUUCCGUCUGCUUGAUAAUAAUGUGGUUGCGACCUUCGUGUCCCACUGCAUGAUUACCGAGUACGUCCUCGCCUCCGAGCUAGUUCAGGUUGCCCCUGGCUAAGCCAACACUUGGUGUAGCGCUGCUUACACCAAAUCUUCCACACAUUUAUUCGUCCUCGUGCACAUCGUCACAGCAUAUUAGAUCGUAGUACCGGAGAUUCCGCGAAAUUUGUGUGCUUAAGUAGGCAUGCAUAUUGUGUGACUAGCAGUAAUAUGUGAUGCUUGCUCGAUUAAUUAUACUAGUAGAAUGCUUGUGUGCUUUUGUUUUAGUCAUUUCUGUUGUUCCUUUCUUUGGGCCUUCGGUGUUACAAUUUUUUCCCCUAUUAAAGUUGCUCGUCAGCCGACACUGGACCCGAAGAGUCAGUAAGAAAUGCAUAUAUUUGGAAAGUCAGCUAAACAGAAUGGAAUUAUCAGCUGACUGCAGUGAAAUUGGGAAUAGCUUGUCUGGAUGCAAAAGAAAUCCUGGAUGGGCCGUCAGUAUCAAGUUUGCAUUAGCUUGCACUCAUCACAACAAAAUGAUUAAAUCAGCAAGAAGAUAAAUUGUGUGCAAGGUUGACAGAAUAUUAUCAAAGGUAUGGCUCAGAUACACGUUUAAUUUUCGUUGAGGAUGAUUUUGGAACUCGAUGUACCUGGAAGCAAACAAAAAUAUGGCAUAUACUCAAAAAGAAGGAUAGUCCAGUAAAACCCUGUUUCAUACAAGAAAUCAACAUCAGAAAUAUUAAGAUGGUAUGUAUAUGUGGUACUCGGUCCGCAUAUCACAAUAAGAAGUUUCUGGUGUAAGCAACCCACUUUUCCCUCGCAAGAUACCGGAGAAGCUUCCAAGGCAAGAUUCAUCUAUCUUCCUCAGUACGAUACAUGGAUGACUUCUCGCGCAAGGUACUCUGCCUUCUUCGGUAAGCAACCGCAAAAGCUUCCAGCAUAAGGUACUGAGUCUUUCCCCAGCGAAGUCUUUAAGGGGGUAAGCUUUUGAAGCACGAUACCCAGUCUUCUUCAGCAAGCUGUCCGAUGAAAGUUUCGAGCUCAAGCCAGCAAAUAUUCCUCAGUAAGACAUUGGUACAAGGUAGUACGCUGUGAAUUGACAGCAUAUGGCAGUGAAUCCUAAGAAUCAGAUCCGCAUCAUUUUGGUCAGAAUCAAGAAUCAGUCAGAAUACACGUCUGUCUCGGAAUCAGAUUCUCAUAUAUAUGCGGUGAGCAUACCACCGAGAUCUUACAAGUCACUCGGAGGAGGAUCUGAUAACCACGUGACGAUGAUUAAGAGAAGAAAGCCAGUAUACACCACAGUGUGACAAAGGAUUAUAAGGAUUGACGACAUCAAUGAGCUCAAUACAAGUAUCCGUGAACCUGGAAAAUGAUCCUGAUGAGCCUUUGUCCCCUUUUUCUCCAACGACGGCACCACGCCUGUGAUCUGAGCUGUUUCUACCUAUCCGGGGCGGAUGCGGAUUUUUUUAUUUCUCUCUUUCACGACUGUCACGAGUUCUGAGCUGCUUUUCGACCGUUUCGUACAGCUGUGAGUUUCUUUUUGUGACAGUGGCCCUAUAGCUGCUUUUUGGCUAUUCUAGGGAGCUGCCACCUUCUUCUUAUCGACCCGGUCUCAUGCUCUGAGCUGUUUUUUCGGCUGUCCUGAGCCGUGGUUGAGUUAUGUCAGUAAUGUCCCAGAUCUGAGUGGUAAAGACAGUUCUGGUGGCUACUGAUUUAUUUGCCGAUUUCUUGCAAGGGUUUCGGAUGAUCAUUUCCCAACGAUCAGAACUUGAGAGGUGUUGAACCUGCCAUUUAAUGGGUUACCCUGUCAGAAAAAUGAGGAUAAGCUAUGAUUGCCGAAAAAUUGCACCGACAGUACCUAUGGUCAUACAAAGAAACAAUAUGGCCCAGCUCUUUCAUCCAAAGAUCCAGACCAAGAAAACAAAAAUGAAGGAGCAAGACCAGCGAUGCAGGUAUGAAAAUUGUACACGACCCCCAUGGUGCAGAUCCCCUGGACAGUCUAAGUCAGUGUUGAUCCACAUGGAUAUGCCUACAGCAUGAGUAAUCGGCAUGAGGAAUCACAGUCUGGAAGCCUGAGUCCUCACCUAUAUGAAUGAUCAUGGAUAGCCCGUCGUGAACAAAAAAAUUUCCAUCAGAAACACCGUCAGUCAAGUCUGCAGAUAUUAUCAUAUAGGCCAAACCCUUUAUGCUGGCCGCGACAGGAGACAAUCAAAUAUUUGGUACGGAUCCGAUACUCACGACAAUGGAACCAGUUCAGAAACUUCUGCGAUGAGUCAGAAUCUGUCAGGAAACGGUUAUAUUUUAACUCACUGUUUGGAACCCAAAGGACCUGCAUUUAGUGGAGAAACCCAAUGCAAUGAGUCAGAGCUUGAGUUUUCAUCAUAAAAUUCUGAUCAUCAUUACAUGAAAGGUUGUCAGUGCCGGGUGACACACCCAGCGGAAAUCACUUUUGGAUUUGUGAGACGGACAUAUAUUUCAGUUGUGAAAAUUAAUCACAGUCAGCUAGUCAGCAGAUCUAAAAAGAAAUUGGAGCCUAUAUAAGCAUGAGCAAGCCAGGUAAGAUCUGUCAGAAUGUGGAUACAGUAAAGCAAACCACCCAGGGCCAGUAAGAUAAAAAAAUUAGUGGGAACAAAAAUAAGAAAAAAGAUACCCGAGUUGGAAACGGUUUCCUUAAGUCAGAAUAUUCAUACUUGUUCCCUGAGCAACCAAAUCUCGAGGACGAGAUUUCUUUAAGGGGGUAAGGUUUGUGACAGCCUGAUUUUUGGCCCUUUCUUUUUCUUUUGUUUUUCUGAGGUUUUUGCCUGAGUUUUCUUUUUCCGUGGCUUUGUGGUCUGGAAACUGAAGAAGAUGCCCUCUUCUUUGCUUCCAGAGUGGCUUGUCAUUCCCAAAUCUUUCCCUGGACCCUGUCAUUUCCAUCCUAGCCCAAGUCCCAAUAAUCUUUUUAUUGGGAAUAUUCCUUUUCUAUUGAAGGAAUAACUCCAAUUGCCCUAGGUUGUGAAGCAACCUAUAUUUCCCUCACUCCUAAAAUUCCCAAAUAAUUCUUAUAAAUCGUUUGGGUCAUAUCUUGAUCAAAUAUGGCAAAACUUUUCAUUGCCAUGUUCAAAAAUAAUCCUCCAAUAAUCCAUUUACUAUUCUGCCCCAAAUGGCACAUUGUGAAGCAAGUGCCAUUUUCCUUUGCCCAAUUGACCUCAAACUCCUUGGACAUCUUUUCAUGUCCAUAUCAUUGCCCCAUGCCAAAAUUCAACCUCAUUUGCCUAGUAAUUAUUGAAUUAUGAUUUUCCAAAGUUUCUGUCCAGAAAGAAGCUUUGUGAAGGAGGUACAAGCUAGGCAUAUCAAAAUGAGUUGAAAUUUUGCAUGAUCCUCCAUAUAAUCAUAUAAUAGCCUUAAAACAAAGUAGAGCUCAUAUCAUGCCUCCAUGUGAGCUCAUCUUCAAAUCUUUGUUUCUGCCCAAAAGUUCAGUUUGUGAAGCAAGUAUAUUUUAUCUUGCUCCAUUAUGGCUGCCAAAUUUUAUAGGCCUUAUAUUGUCCAUAUAACCUCCCUCGACCAAUUUGUGGCUCAAUACCUUUGACAAUUUGCCCUGUGGAAUACUUCCAAUUUCUGGUCAGAAUAAAUCUUUCUGAAGCAAGUGCUAUUUUGGUUCAUCCAAAUGGCAUGAAACUCCUUGGGCAUCUGUAUAUCUUCAAAUCAUUGGGCCAUAACCAAUUUGAGCUCAAGUUGAUGCUUCAUCAGAGUGCAUCAUCCUAAUCUAGUUUCUGGACCAGUUUAUGUGGUUGUUAAGCAACUACAUUAAAUCUUGAUCCUAAUCCACUCCAAGCUAUCAGGGUGAAAGUACUUCUUUACCUCAACCUCGCAGACAACUCCAUUGGAUCCAAAACCCUUCCUGUUGAUCACUAGUGCUCACCCAAGUUUACAGCAGUAAACUUCAGAGGGUUCUUACCGUUUAACCAGAUCACUUUUAACCGAGCUACCACCGUAGUUGAGACCUACCCUUGAGAAACUUACCACUAGACAACGUUUUCCAGCUGUUUGCCUCCCCCUCAUGCCAGCACUGGUGGUGACCACCGUUUUGGCAUGCCAUGAGCGCGCCCAGAAUGGCCUCUUGCUCGGGCCCCUCCUUCUCUCGUCGUCUUCGCGCUCGUGAGCGUGUCUACCAUUUGGCCUGCGUCGUCGCCGUCCUGCUGGACCUCUCUCCCCCUCCGUCCGCUUCCUCGUCAGCGCUCGUCGCCGCGCGCCCACGGGUGAGCAGUGCCGACCGAGCUUUAAUGGCGCCGUGGCCGUUUCCCCUCUGCGCCCUCGGCCCCUCCUGCCCUGUGCAUAGUUGUAGCUCGUCCGCACCCCCCUCUCGUCGCGAUCCCGCGCCCUCCCGUGAUCGCUGGCCGUCGCCAGAGCCUCGGCCGGACGUGCCCGGCGGCACCCGAGCCCAUCCCUCUCGCCCGGCUAUAUAUAGCCAUCCCCCGAGCCCUCCGAGCUCACCUCUCGCCUCCCAUCACUCCCAGGACCCCGCCCCACUUCUUCCCCGAGCCGGAGCUGCUCUCCUCGCCUCCCUAUGCAACCAUGGCCGCCGCCUCGGCUCGGCUAAAUUAGCCCGACACCGAGCCUCCCCCUCCGUUCGUCCACCACCACUGGAUUCCCCACUCGCCAGUGAUCCUCCCCAGCCCCUUAUCUAGUCUCCGGAGUAGCUGUGGCUGUCGUCCCCAAGAUCAGCCGCCGCCACCGCGUCCUCUGUUGCCCCAAGCCGCGGCUGCCCUAGUCAUCCCCGGCGCUCCCUUCACUGCGGGAUGGACGCGGCGCCUCCUCCCGAGCCCACCGGUGGCUGCGUCCUCGCCGGAGCCGGCCGGAGCCGGCCGGCCCGUCGCCGGUGACGCGCCCUCCCCUGCCUCCUCUGUCCCGUGCGGGAGCAGGACGAGGAAGAAGAAGACAGAGGCCAGGCGGGCCCUCUUCUCCUCGCGGGCCCCGCGUGGCAGCCUCAGCCCGUUGACCUGGUCUGACCACGUGGAUAAGUGACGGGCCCCACCCCGUGGGACCCGCACACGUCAGCCCCGCCACUGUUCCAAAGGAUAAGGUGAAAGCGUAUUUUUCCAGAUUACCUUUUCACUUUUUCUGUUCAGGCCCCUGGUUGAAAAGAUUUUCAUUACAGAUGGGUCCCUGGCAGAAAAACAUCCAUAUCUUUUUAUCCGUAACUCCGUUUAAGGUGAAAACAACGCUCACUUCUUCGUCUCAUCGAGCCCGUUCUGUUGGUUUCAUUUUCACUAUGGUUUGACACAGUGAAAAUGACCUUUUUGCCCUUGCCCUUAUUCAGCCCUCUCCGAGAGAGAAAGUUUUUCGGCGAUUCGUUCCGCGAGUUUCUCGCACUUUCUCCCGGUGAUUUCUUCCACCCCAGGCAAGCCACAAUACCCACUUGCAUGAUAGUCAUGCAGUAGCCAUGGUUUUCAACUUGAAUAUUUAUUAAAUGUUUGCUUGUUUAAAAUAUGGUUAUCGUUGUUUCGGUAAUGCUUCUGGACUAGUGCUUACUUUCUUGCUAUGUUGUUAUGCACCUGGUUGUCAUGCCCGGCUAGUUGCUAGUAUUCCUUUCAUAUUGCCAUGCUUGAUAGUAGUAUAUGCUGAUGAUGGUGAUGGUCUUCGGUGCAUGACUGUCGUCUGUCCCGAGUACCGUCGUUAUGCAUGUCCCUUUACAUCCAGUUGGUUAAAUGCUUGCAUGAUGGCAUCGUUGAUAUGUUCUUGCAUGACAUUUAUUGUUGAUGCUAGUGGUCAUGCUAUGUUUCGGAGAAGUAUGUACUGGUGAUGUUCAUGCUAGUCAGUACGCCAUGCCCAAUGGAUAUGAUUCAUUGUUGAUAUGGUGGACAGUUAUGAGAUACCCUCAUGAUUGUGUUGAUAUCAUGUUCAUGCAUUUUUAUCAUGACUCAGCAUAUUUGCAUUCAAUUUAACCGGAUUAAAUUGAACUUGAACAACUGUUGGCUGAGUCAUUGUGCCGCUGAAUCGAUGCUGACCAGUGCAACCACGCUUACUGGUAUGGGACGGUCCUAACUGGGUCUAUUGUUGUGCCUCUCGCCGGUGCCUCCAACGAGGGAAGGUUAUGGGCGCGCGCUACCCUGAUCAGGUAGGCGGACAUAACCUUGUGUGCCCGUUGUUGAGUUUGAGUUUUUGGAUCCGUGUCCCCGUGUGGGACGGGCCACGACGGUGGUCGUUGUGUCUUUGGUAGACACGGGGCCACCCAUGACUUAGCCCAGAGGGGAGUGAGUCGGAGUGGCUGGGAGAGUGUCAUGACAGUAGAUCGGUUUUGUCGGAACGCCGUUGGUCCGCCCGAAUGGGAGUGCGAGGCCAUGGGUUCCGUAGUGUGGGUACAGUAUACUAACCUCUGCAGAGUGUAUAUUAAAUCUAUCGAUAGCCGCGCCCGCGGAUAAGGGCCCAGGUCGAAAGUAGGGUACACCAUGAGUCAACAGUAAUAAGAAUAACUUGAUUAAUGACAACCCGUGGUUGUGGUCGGCGUAAGGAUCGCGAUGGUAUCGAGGAUACCGAGUUGUUGGAUAUUCGUGAUGUUGUGCGAGAGUCGUGGGUAAAGAUCAAGCUCCUUGUGGUCAUUUACUGAUCGCUACGGUAUUGUUUAUACCAAGCUUGAUUUGAUCCUGAGAUGAUCGUGUGAUGUCCGAGGUUGGUAAGUGAUGCAUGUGUUGGUUACGAGGUAACCCGAGCAGAAUAAGUAGUGCAUGAUAGUGUCAUCAUGUUGCAUGCUAGUAUUGUCGGAUUAAUAUGUUCAUGUUGUGUUAGCUGUAUCAUGUUUAUGUCGGUGAUGCCAUGUUAUUCUGAUGAUCUCAUGAUAAUUCCUGUUUAACUUGUAAUUGCCAUGCUGUUGUCUGUCUUGAAUGCUUCUGGUUAUUGUGAGCUUGCAAGUACAUUCAAUGUACUGACCUGACAUGUCAUGCCAGUUUGCAGGUCAUGCCGGAUUUGAUUGCUUGCUUGUCGUGGUUCCCGUUCGUGCGAGCUAGGAUAAUCGUUCCAGCCAGAGUCCCUGCGGAGUGGAGUUCACCACCGUCGCCGUUGUUCCGCUGCUAGAGUUAUUCGCUGCUUCGAGUUGUUCUGCUGCUUGCAUACAGCAACUGAGGAUGGCAUAGUGUCGCCGUGCCGAUGUUAUUCAUUGUAAUAUCGGAGACCUUGUAUUCAUUUUCGUGUAAUAAUAGGGAGCUGGUUUGUUCUAUGCUAAGCAGUGCCGUAUUCCAGAAGACUUCUCCUUGAUUUCUGGGCUGGAAUACGGGGCGUUCCGGUUUUCUCUGAGCCGGGGUGCCACAUAAACCCUAGAAGCUAGCCUAUGAUUCUGAUUGUUGUUGGUCCUACGGACUAAACCCUCCGGUUUAUAUAGACACCGGAGGGGGCUAGGGUUACACAGAGUCGGUUACAGAGAAGGAGAUCAACAUAUCCUAAUUGCCAAGCUUGCCUUCCACGCCAAGGAGAGUCCCCUCCAGACACGGGACGAAGUCUUCAAUCUUGUAUCUUCGUAGUCCAACAGUCCGGCCAAAGUAUA
RNAcentral lists this long non-coding RNA (10270 nucleotides) under Triticum aestivum (bread wheat). RNAcentral describes it as "long non-coding RNA (TAES_LNC009407)". Lineage: Eukaryota; Viridiplantae; Streptophyta; Magnoliopsida; Poales; Poaceae. The record is from RNAcentral.